UAGUCCAUGCUGUAAACGUUGGGCACUAGGUGUGGGGGCUGGUUUCAUGGUUUCCGCGCCGUAGCUAACGCAUUAAGUGCCCCGCCUGGGGAGUACGGCCGCAAGGCUAAAACUCAAAGGAAUUGACGGGGGCCCGCACAAGCGGCGGAGCAUGCGGAUUAAUUCGAUGCAACGCGAAGAACCUUACCAAGGCUUGACAUACACUGCGACAUGCCAGAGAUGGUGUGGCCUUCGGGGUGGUGUAC
This 245-nucleotide ribosomal RNA is filed under the name uncultured bacterium. Its description in RNAcentral is "partial 16S ribosomal RNA". It matches the Rfam family "Bacterial small subunit ribosomal RNA", at positions 791 to 1035 of the family's 1533-position model. The record is from RNAcentral.